GAUGAAGAACGUAGCAAAAUGCGAUAAGUAAUGUGAAUUGCAGAAUUCAGUGAAUCAUCGAAUCUUUGAACGCACAUUGCGCCCGCCAGUAUUCUGGCGGGCAUGCCUGUCCGAGCGUCAUUUCAACCCUCAAGCCCCCGGGCUUGGUGUUGGGGAUCGGCACAACGGCCUCGCAAGAGGACGCGCCGGCCCCUAAAUUCAGUGGCGGUCUCGCUGCAGCCUCCAUUGCGUAGUAGCUAACACCUCGCAACUGGAACGCGGCGCGGCCAAGCCGUUAAACCCCCAACUUCUGAAUGUUGACCUCGGAUCAGGUAGGAAUACCCGCUGAACUUAAGCAUAUCAAUAAGCGGAGGA
RNAcentral lists this unclassified non-coding RNA (354 nucleotides) under soil metagenome. RNAcentral describes it as "partial contains 5.8S ribosomal RNA, internal transcribed spacer 2, and large subunit ribosomal RNA". The stretch from base 1 to 120 matches the Rfam family "5.8S ribosomal RNA", at positions 35 to 154 of the family's 154-position model. The record is from RNAcentral.